Molecule: ribosomal RNA, 505 nt
Filed under: uncultured bacterium
Lineage: Bacteria
Description: bacterial SSU rRNA
Rfam family: Bacterial small subunit ribosomal RNA
Source: RNAcentral
AGAGUUUGAUCAUGGCUCAGAUUGAACGCUGGCGGCAUGCUUUACACAUGCAAGUCGAGCGGCAGCGCGGGGGCAACCCUGGCGGCGAGCGGCGAACGGGUGAGUAAUGCAUCGGAACGUGUCCCGUAGUGGGGGAUAACCCGCCGAAAGGCGGGCUAAUACCGCAUAUGCUCUACGGAGGAAAGCGGGGGGACCGCAAGGCCUCGCGCUAUGGGAGCGGCCGAUGUCCGAUUAGCUAGUUGGCGGGGUAAAGGCCCACCAAGGCGACGAUCGGUAGCUGGUCUGAGAGGAUGAUCAGCCACACUGGGACUGAGACACGGCCCAGACUCCUACGGGAGGCAGCAGUGGGGAAUUUUGGACAAUGGGGGCAACCCUGAUCCAGCCAUGCCGCGUGCGGGAAGAAGGCCUUCGGGUUGUAAACCGCUUUUAGUCGGGAAGAAAAGGCGCGGGCUAAUACUCCGUGUUCUUGACGGUACCGGCGGAAUAAGCACCGGCUAACUACGUG